CCUACGGGAGGCAGCAGUGAGGAAUAUUGGUCAAUGGGCGCGAGCCUGAACCAGCCAAGUCGCGUGAAUGAUGACUGCCCUACGGGUUGUAAACUUCUUUUAUCAAGGAAUAAAGUUAGGCACGUGUGCCUUUUUGUAUGUACUUUAUGAAUAAGGAUCGGCUAACUCCGUUCCAGCAGCCGCGGUAAUACGGAGGAUCCGAGCGUUUUCCGGAUUUAUUGGGUUUAAAGGGAGCGUAAAUGGGUUGUUAAGUCAGUUGUGAAAGUUUGCGGCUCAACCUUAAAAUUGCAAUUGAUACUGGCAGUCUGGAGUACAGUUGAGGUAGGCGGAAUUCGUGGUGUAGCGGUGAAAUGCUUAGAUAUCACGAAGAACUCCGAUGGCGAAGGCAGCUUACUAAACUGCCACUGACAUUGAUGCUCGAAAGUGUGGGGAUCAAACAGGAUUAGAUACCCGGGUAGUC
This 460-nucleotide ribosomal RNA is filed under the name uncultured bacterium. RNAcentral's name for it is "partial 16S ribosomal RNA". It matches the Rfam family "Bacterial small subunit ribosomal RNA", at positions 338 to 795 of the family's 1533-position model. The record is from RNAcentral.